UUGUUUGCUUGUACGACUUAUACAUGUUUCAACUUUUAUGAAUUCACUAGCAAAAACAUGGUUGAUUGGAAUUGAUACUCGUAGAAGUAAACUAUGUAUAGUUAAAUGACAACACUUAUGCUUAGUGUCUACCUUACUCUUUAUAAGUUCCUUAUUUCAUGGUUUGCCAAUCCCUCAAUAAGUAUAUUUUUUAGCCAUAGAGAUGGAGAACCUCCUCCAGCUUCACAUAUCUCUAUCAUCUUCCCUCAAUUAUAUGGCUCUGAAUAUGAUGUAUCACCUGACAUUAAUAAGCUUAUGAAAGAAAAAGUAUCAUUUAGGAUAUACAAUCUCAUGGUUCUACAAUCUAAAUUCCUCUGGUCCUUGUACUUGUUUUUCAGAUAGGUAUUGCAAACAUGAAUAUUAUGCAUCAUUCUGCAGUCAGGUGCCUUCUCAUAGGAGGAUUUUAAAUGUUAAUAUUUCUAAUUUUCUUCUCUACCUACUUUUAUAAUCCAUGAAGUGUUUUUUGUGCAUCGACGAACAGUGAAACAGGUCCCUAUGUUUAUCUAAGUAGCAGUGGAUUAUGUUUGUCUUGCAAGUUAGUAAAUAAUGAAGGAUUGAGGUGCUAAUGAGCUGACAGCAGGCGAGGGAGCUGCCAGUUUCCUUUUCAUCACAAACAAACAUACUUUCCGGUGUUUGUAAGAUUCAGCUAGCGAUGACCAUUGUGAACAAUGAGGUUUUGCAAACACUAUCGGUCCUACUUGAUGAGCGAUUAACUAUGGCAAGGCGGUCUCUAUGGUUGCAAGACUUGUGUGUCUUUUGUUAAUAACAUACACAUGCUUACAAAAAUAUGGUGUCUAAGCAAUUGUUAGUGAUAGCAGAAGUUUUUACAUGGCGAAAAUGUUGGUGUUCAUUUGUUUGACUUGUGGGUUCUCAGAAGCGACCAAGCAUUCAACCUGGCCCUUUUACUCCAAUUCAAACAUUUGAAUUGGAGGCAGGUGCUGCUGGCCACAGAUGUUAUGGUGUAUUAUUCAUGCAUGACAGUGCAGCUUCCUGUUGUUAAAUGUUGGGCCCAAUUGGUUGAAGCCAUUAAUGGUGGAAUUAAAGCUGGAUAGAGACUGGGAGGAGUGGGUAGGAGGAAGAUGAGCAUUCUCAUGUGCUAACCUUUGAUGCUGAAUUAAUGGUGCAUUAAUGUAUUUUCUGUCAGAUGAUGGCCAGCUGCUGCUCAGUUUUGUUGCAGGAGUCUACAGCAUGUUGGGCUCCAUUUCCUACCUUCUCUGUCAUCUUCUUCCUUUGAACACGAUAGAUUGUUCGUUCUGGGAGAUUAAUCCAUCAAACUAAUGGCAUAGUUUGCUCAGGAAAUCUUGGUUUUC
Long non-coding RNA from Musa acuminata AAA Group (dessert banana), 1349 nucleotides. RefSeq lists it as uncharacterized. The record is from RefSeq and is a predicted model, not a curated record. The transcript is spliced from 2 exons. Lineage: Eukaryota; Viridiplantae; Streptophyta; Magnoliopsida; Zingiberales; Musaceae.